UCGUGUCGUGAGAUGUUGGGUUAAGUCCCGCAACGAGCGCAACCCUUGCCUUUAGUUGCCAGCAGUUCGGCUGGGCACUCUAAAAGGGACUGCCGGUGUUAAACCGGGAGGAAGGUGGGGGAUGACGUCAAGUCCUCAUGGCCUUUAUGACCAGGGCUACACACGUACUACAAUGGCCGAUACAAAGGGCAGCGACAUUGCGAGGUGAAGCCAAUCCCGUAAAAUCGGUCUCAGUCCGGAUUGGAGUCUGCAACUCGACUCCAUGAAGUUGGAAUCGCUAGUAAUCGUGGAUCAGCAUGCCACGGUGAAUACGUUCCCGGGCCUU
RNAcentral lists this ribosomal RNA (325 nucleotides) under uncultured Desulfobulbus sp. Its description in RNAcentral is "bacterial SSU rRNA". It matches the Rfam family "Bacterial small subunit ribosomal RNA", at positions 1060 to 1382 of the family's 1533-position model. Lineage: Bacteria; Pseudomonadati; Thermodesulfobacteriota; Desulfobulbia; Desulfobulbales; Desulfobulbaceae. The record is from RNAcentral.